GACGAACGCUGGCGGCGUGCUUAACACAUGCAAGUCGAACGGAAAGGCCCCAGCUUGCUGGGGUACUCGAGUGGCGAACGGGUGAGUAACACGCGGGUGAUCUGCCCUGCACUCUGGGAUAAGCCUGGGAAACUGGGUCUAAUACCGGAUAGGACCGUGCUUUAGUGUGUGCGGUGGAAAGUUUUUCGGUGCAGGAUGAGCCCGCGGCCUAUCAGCUUGUUGGUGGGGUAAUGGCCUACCAAGGCGGCGACGGGUAGCCGGCCUGAGAGGGUGUACGGCCACAUUGGGACUGAGACACGGCCCAGACUCCUACGGGAGGCAGCAGUGGGGAAUAUUGCACAAUGGGCGCAAGCCUGAUGCAGCGACGCCGCGUGGGGGAUGACGGCCUUCGGGUUGUAAACCCCUUUCGGCAGGGACGAAGCUUUUGUGACGGUACCUGCAUAAGAAGCACCGGCUAACUACGUG
This 465-nucleotide ribosomal RNA is filed under the name uncultured bacterium. Its description in RNAcentral is "partial 16S ribosomal RNA". It matches the Rfam family "Bacterial small subunit ribosomal RNA", at positions 28 to 507 of the family's 1533-position model. The record is from RNAcentral.